RNAcentral lists this long non-coding RNA (2479 nucleotides) under Solanum tuberosum (potato). Its description in RNAcentral is "long non-coding RNA (STUB_LNC009594)". The record is from RNAcentral. Lineage: Eukaryota; Viridiplantae; Streptophyta; Magnoliopsida; Solanales; Solanaceae.
UUCUAAGAACCUUGAUUCUUUUUUACUGUAUGUCCUGGUUUUGGAUGAGUCUUGAAUUUUUAAAGUCUGUCCAAAGCUUAAGUUAGUUUAAAGAUUAUUCCGGCUGUUAAAAAAAAAUAAUGACUCAUUCUGUUUUUUUUUCCUUUAUUUGACGGAGAGACUUCUGAUCACCUAAGAGAUAUAAUUGAAUGGUUUUCAUCUCCCCAUAUAAUCUCAUUGCAAAUUUCAUUACUUUCAAAUGCCAUGAUGCAACUAUGUGACCAUCCAACUCUCCUUUCCCCUAUGACUAGGGCUGGGCAUAAUAUGGUUAAAACCGAAAAAACCGACCGAACCGAUUUUUUUUUAAUUUCGGUUUCGGUUUUUCGGUUAUUUCGGUCGGUUUCGGUUUCAAUUUUGAAUAUUUUGGUUUUUCGGUUCGGUUUUCGGUUUUUGGCUAAAACAAUUCGGUUAACCGAAAAACCGAAAUUAUACAUAUAUUCUUUACACCUCUUAAUUAAAUUACUUCAGUAGCCCAUGCCCAGCCGGCCCAUUUUCAAAAUUAGGCCCAAAUUCCAAUAGAAAUCCCUAAACUGAUAACCUGAAAUCCCUAACACAAUACAAAUCACAGUAAGCUCUCAUCUCUCAACUCUCGUCACUCGUCAGUCGUCUCUCAGUUACGACUUACACCGCUGCUCGUCUCUCAACUCUCGUCUCUCGUCUCUCGUCUCUCGUCUCUCGUCUCUCGUCUCUCGUCUCUCGUCUCUCGUCUCUCGUCUCUCGUCUCUCGUCUCUCGUCUCUCGUCUCUCGUCUCUCGUCUCUCGUCUCUCGUCUCUCGUCUCUCGUCUCUCGUCUCUCGUCUCUCGUCUCUCGUCUCUCGUCUCUCGUCUCUCGUCUCUCGUCUCUCGUCUCUCGUCUCUCGUCUCUCGUCUCUCGUCUCUCGUCUCUCGUCUCUCGUCUCUCGUCUCUCGUCUCUCGUCUCUCGUCUCUCGUCUCUCGUCUCUCGUCUCUCGUCUCUCGUCUCUCGUCUCUCGUCUCUCGUCUCUCGUCUCUCGUCUCUCGUCUCUCGUCUCUCGUCUCUCGUCUCUCGUCUCUCGUCUCUCGUCUCUCGUCUCUCGUCUCUCGUCUCUCGUCUCUCGUCUCUCGUCUCUCGUCUCUCGUCUCUCGUCUCUCGUCUCUCGUCUCUCGUCUCUCGUCUCUCGUCUCUCGUCUCUCGUCUCUCGUCUCUCGUCUCUCGUCUCUCGUCUCUCGUCUCUCGUCUCUCGUCUCUCGUCUCAUGCCCAGCCGGCCCAUUUUCUCUCUCGUCUCUCGUCUCUCGUCUCUCGUCUCUCGUCUCUCGUCUCUCGUCUCUCGUCUCUCGUCUCUCGUCUCUCGUCUCUCGUCUCUCGUCUCUCGUCUCUCGUCUCUCGUCUCUCGUCUCUCGUCUCUCGUCUCUCGUCUCUCGUCUCUCGUCUCUCGUCUCUCGUCUCUCGUCUCUCGUCUCUCGUCUCUCGUCUCUCGUCUCUCGUCUCUCGUCUCUCGUCCGUCAUCUCUAAAGUCUUAGGCCAGCCGCUACUCCUUGGCUCCUCGCUGAGUGCUCGCAGGUCGCAGCCCGCCACUGCUCAGUGCUCGCGACUCGAAGGUUAAUGCUUCUAUAUAGAGAAUAUCAACUAGGUGAGUUUGGAGAGCAAAAGCAAAAUUGUAUGGCAUAGAUUGUUGGAGUUUCGAGAGUAUUGUUAAGUGUUGAUUGUUAUUUGUUAUAGAAGUUGAUGUUGAUUGUUGUAUUAUUUGAACAGCAACACAGCCACAACCACAACCCACAGGUCACUGUUAAUUGGUAAGUUGCAAGUUAAAUGUUGUUGAAAUUUGAAGGCAAAAGACAAACUGUAUGGCAUAGAUUGUUGGAGUUUGGAGAGUUGUUGAGUGUUGAUUGUUAUAGAAGUUUGUUGAUUGUUGUAUUAUUUGAACCGCAACCUGCAACACAGCCACAACCCACAUGACACUAUUAAUUAAAUUUGGUUAAACCGAAAACCAAACCGAAAUAAACCAAACCGAAAUUGUAAUAACCGAACCGAACUGAAUUUAUUUCAGUUUGGUUUGGUUUCAUAUUUUUGCCAACUGAAAACCGAAAAACCAAACCGAAAUUUACAAACCGAACCGAACCGACCGAACGCCCAGCCCUACCUAUGACUGCAAAAGUCUGGCGUGCCAUGGUAGAUCAACUUUCUGUCCGUGGAAAUUCCGUUUCUGGACUGGUUAAUUUUUUUUGAUAAAUUAGACGAGUAAAAAAUGACCACAUUUGCUAGAAGGUGCAAGGAGCACACAUUGAGGAUAAAAUAGGAGAAAGUCACUUGAGAUGGUUUAGUCCUAUCCUCUGUCUACCUACAUAUGCACCGGUCUAUAGGUGUGAGAUUGUGGUGAGUGAAGGUGUUAAAAUGGAAUGAGGUAGACCUAAUCACGGGAUUUGUGUUGAAUGACCUACAAUUUCUUGGAAUCAGUGUAAACUUUGGCUGAAGAUAAGCA